This 881-nucleotide long non-coding RNA is filed under the name Ricinus communis (castor bean). RNAcentral describes it as "long non-coding RNA (RCOM_LNC000920)". Lineage: Eukaryota; Viridiplantae; Streptophyta; Magnoliopsida; Malpighiales; Euphorbiaceae. The record is from RNAcentral.
CCACUUGAUCAGGGUGAAUCCAAUUUGUAAGGUGUGUAGAUCGGCCUUGGAAACUCAAAAACAUGUCCUAUGUGACUGUCCAAGAGCUCAAAUGUGAUGACUCCGCAUUAUAGAUUUGCCACAGCUUCCUAUUUUUCGAUGGAUUCACGAGCUGGUCACUAAGUUUCAAUCCAGCCAAUAUAAUUUGUAUGUGAUGAUUUUACGGGCUCUUUAGAGAGAUAAGAAUCGGUUAAUACUUCCAAAAUCAGGUUCUUAGGGAGACUGAAAUUCUGUCCAUUGCUUCAAAAGAAUUUUCUGAUUGUGCUUAUUCCUCCUUGGACAGUUGCUGAUCCCGGGGCUGUCUGUCGAUGGUAACCUUCUCCAUAUGGUGCUUACAACAUAUAAAUAGAUGCUUCGUUUGAUAAUGUUGGUCGAACAGGUCUGGGGUUUGUUAUUAGAGACAUUGUAGGUAAUUUGGUUGGGGCAGGCGUCAAGCGGCUUGAUUUUAUUCUCCCAGCUGAAGCAGAGGCAGUUUUAUUAGCAUUGCAAAUGGAAGGGAAGUUGAAUCUGAAACAAAUUCACUAGGAGUCCAAGACUCCUUGUUUGUGGUGGAGCUCUUCCAUGCAAAUGCCAAGGAUGACAGUGAUACUGGUACCAAGAUCUUAGACACAGAUAGUGUUUGGUUCAGCUAAUGAUAACUGAAUUUUAUCAAUUAGCUCUAUUUAAGUGUUCGGUAGACUCUUCUUAUCAGCAACUGAUAGCUAGAAUGAAUCCUCAAUAAGUGAUGUUCAAUCAAAUGCCACAUUUGAUUACUAGAAUUAUUGUUGCUUGCCAUAACAUAGCCUUUUUAGUUGUUGUCUCUGGACAAAGAUAUUCAUGUUUGCAAAAACAGGGCAAGCAGU